CCUACGGGAGGCUGCAGUGGGGAAUAUUGGGCAAUGGGCGCAAGCCUGACCCAGCAACGCCGCGUGAAGGAAGAAGGCUUUCGGGUUGUAAACUUCUUUUGACAGGGAAGAGCAGAAGACGGUACCUGUCGAAUAAGCCACGGCUAACUACGUGCCAGCAGCCGCGGUAAUACGGAGGAUGCGAGCGUUAUCCGGAUUUAUUGGGUGUAAAGGGCGCGUAGGUGGGCGCUUAAGUCAGGUGUGAAAACUCCGGGCUCAACCUGGAGACUGCGCUUGAAACUGGGUGUCUUGAGGGCAGGAGAGGAAAGUGGAAUUCCUAGUGUAGCGGUGAAAUGCGUAGAUAUUAGGAGGAACACCAGUGGCGAAGGCGACUUUCUGGACUGUACCUGACGCUGAGGCGCGAAAGCGUGGGUAGCGAACGGGAUUAGAUACCCCUGUAGUC
Molecule: ribosomal RNA, 442 nt
Filed under: uncultured bacterium
Lineage: Bacteria
Description: partial 16S ribosomal RNA
Rfam family: Bacterial small subunit ribosomal RNA
Source: RNAcentral